GACGAACGCUGGCGGCGUGCCUAACACAUGCAAGUCGAGCGAGUGAAUCUCCUUCGGGAGUGAAACUAGCGGCGGACGGGUGAGUAACACGUGGGCAACCUGCCUCAUAGAGGGGAAUAGCCUUUCGAAAGGAAGAUUAAUACCGCAUAAGAUUGUAGCUUCGCAUGAAGUAGCAAUUAAAGGAGUAAUCCGCUAUGAGAUGGGCCCGCGGCGCAUUAGCUAGUUGGUGAGGUAACGGCUCACCAAGGCGACGAUGCGUAGCCGACCUGAGAGGGGGAGCGGCCACAUUGGGGCUGGGGCACGGCCCAGACUCCUACGGGAGGCAGCAGUGGGGAAUAUUGCACCAUGGGGGAAACCCUGAUGCAGCAACGCCGCGUGAGUGAUGACGGCCUUCGGGUUGUAAAACUCUGUCUUCAGGGACGAUAAUGACGGUACCUGAGGAGGAAGCCACGGCUAACUACGUGCCAGCCGCCGCAGUAA
This 480-nucleotide ribosomal RNA is filed under the name uncultured bacterium. RNAcentral's name for it is "partial 16S ribosomal RNA". It matches the Rfam family "Bacterial small subunit ribosomal RNA", at positions 28 to 523 of the family's 1533-position model. The record is from RNAcentral.